Molecule: ribosomal RNA, 834 nt
Filed under: uncultured bacterium
Lineage: Bacteria
Description: bacterial SSU rRNA
Rfam family: Bacterial small subunit ribosomal RNA
Source: RNAcentral
GAUGAACGCUAGCGGCAGGCUUAACACAUGCAAGUCGAGGGGUAUAGUUCUUCGGAACUAGAGACCGGCGCACGGGUGCGUAACGCGUAUGCAAUCUACCUUUUACAGAGGGAUAGCCCAGAGAAAUUUGGAUUAAUACCUCAUAGUAUAACGACUCGGCAUCGAGAUGUUAUUAAAGUCACAACGGUGAAAGAUGAGCAUGCGUCCCAUUAGCUAGUUGGUAUGGUAACGGCAUACCAAGGCGACGAUGGGUAGGGGUCCUGAUAGGGAGAUCCCCCACACUGGUACUGAGACACGGACCAGACUCCUACGGGAGGCAGCAGUGAGGAAUAUUGGACAAUGGGCGCAAGCCUGAUCCAGCCAUGCCGCGUGCAGGAUGACGGUCCUAUGGAUUGUAAACUGCUUUUGCACAGGAAGAAACAACUCUACGUGUAGAGUCUUGACGGUACUGUGAGAAUAAGGAUCGGCUAACUCCGUGCCAGCAGCCGCGGUAAUACGGAGGAUCCAAGCGUUAUCCGGAAUCAUUGGGUUUAAAGGGUCCGUAGGCGGUCUUAUAAGUCAGUGGUGAAAUCUCCCCGCUCAACGGGGAAACGGCCAUUGAUACUGUAGGACUUGAAUUAUUUGGAAGUAACUAGAAUAUGUAGUGUAGCGGUGAAAUGCUUAGAGAUUACAUGGAAUACCAAUUGCGAAGGCAGGUUACUACUAAUGGAUUGACGCUGAUGGACGAAAGCGUGGGUAGCGAACAGGAUUAGAUACCCUGGUAGUCCACGCCGUAAACGAUGGAUACUAGCUGUGGAAGCAAUUUCAGUGGCUAAGCGAAAGUGAUAAGUAUCC